This 608-nucleotide ribosomal RNA is filed under the name uncultured bacterium. RNAcentral describes it as "bacterial SSU rRNA". It matches the Rfam family "Bacterial small subunit ribosomal RNA", at positions 338 to 948 of the family's 1533-position model. The record is from RNAcentral.
CCUACGGGAGGCAGCAGUAGGGAAUAUUGGGCAAUGGAGGCAACUCUGACCCAGCCAUGCCGCGUGCAGGAAGAAGGCGUUAUGCGUUGUAAACUGCUUUUAUAUAGGAAGAAAUAGUCCUUGCGAGGAAAGUUGACGGUACUAUAUGAAUAAGCACCGGCUAACUCCGUGCCAGCAGCCGCGGUAAUACGGAGGGUGCAAGCGUUGUCCGGAUUUAUUGGGUUUAAAGGGUGCGUAGGCGGUUUAUUAAGUCAGUGGUGAAAGACGGUCGCUCAACGAUUGCAGUGCCAUUGAUACUGGUAGACUUGAGUGGGAUUGAGGUAGCUGGAAUGGAUAGUGUAGCGGUGAAAUGCAUAGAUAUUAUCCAGAACACCAAUUGCGUAGGCAAGUUACUAAGUCUCAACUGACGCUGAGGCACGAAAGUGUGGGUAUCAAACAGGAUUAGAUACCCUGGUAGUCCACACUGUAAACGAUGAUAACUAACUGUUGGCUUUCGGGUCAGUGGUACAGAGAAAUCGUUAAGUUAUCCACCUGGGGAGUACGCCGGNAACGGUGAAACUCAAAUGAAUUGACCGGNNGAGAGNGCGAGACGACGACGAGGGAGGAGG